AGGGGUGGUUUUGCUCUGUAUGUGAGGGACUCUGUGCUGUUUUGCUAGUUCUCAGGAGGUAGUUAUGAAGAAGGCGAAUGAGAAAGUGCUCCUGCUGGGGGACAUAAAGCUGAUAUUUUGUUGCCAGGAGAAAUGUGUGCCCUCCCCAUCAGAAGGCUAUUUACGCUUCACGGAUCUUUCCAGUACUUGAAGCACAACUAAGCAGCUAGCUCAGGUUUAUUGAGCUGGUGUAUUAGAUUUCCUGCUGCAUGAGCAAGAAGAUUAUGGUGGCUUACGUCUAAGUGUACUUUUGGGAGGCAUUUUGUAUUUUCUCUAUAAAUAGUCUUUCUAAAACACAAUUUUGAAACUAUUAAUGUUUAUAUCACAUUAUACAUCUCUCUAAGUUUACUGUCCUGAGUAUACAGUAUGGUUGCAAGAGGAAAUCUUUUUGUCUAAGAAACGUGUUCAGAAUUGUCAUUGUUAAAAGGCUACUAAAAGGCAGGUUUGUUAUAUUUAUCUUCUUAUCUGUAUGGUAUUUUUGGCUUAUUACACAAUGUCGUUCCUGUUUUCAACAACAGUAAAAUUGCAUCUUUUAAGGAGUUAAGCACUUCAAUAGAAAUUGCAAGUGUGUGAGCAUCCUGGCUAUUCUGUUUGUGUCAGAAAAAUGUCAAAUGAGUCAAUUGCAAUUAUGAGCUCUUCACAGAUAAAACUUAGACUUGAGGAUUAGUGAAGAACUUGUAUUUUACACUGCAUGAACUUUUUUUCAUCUUAAGCAAAAGAAUGCGCUCAUUACAGAAUUUAAAAAAGAAACCCUGGGAAGAUCCUUUGUCCUAAGAUAAAUGGAAAAUAUACGGGGGAGAAGGAAGCAGAGGUAGUUCAUAUGUGUAGUAUCUCACUGAUGUGUAUUCUGUUUUGAGAAUAAUUUAAUGAGCAAUUUCUCCACGAUUUAUAAGAAGAUGCCACAGGCCUAACUCUGGAAGGUCCCCUGGAGCCAUUUAUUCAUCCACACAUGAACAGCCAGUUUCAUUUUUAAAAAUAAUGGAACAUGAGCAAAACAAAUGGUUAGCGUAGUUCUGUCCAGUGCAAUGAGAGAUUAUCAUCUUAAACCACGAUCGUCUGGUGGGUUGGACCCAGCUUCACAUCCUCCUUGGGUUCAGGUGUGGGUGCUGUGUGGGCAGUCUGGCAAUUUACUGGGGCAUGGGCAUUGUUAGCUGGCUGUGCCUCCGGGUAGGAUUUGAGGCAGGCCUGGAGCAGCUCUGGGCCAGGAGGGACAAUCAGUGCCCUCUAUCAGUGCCGGAGCUGGUGCCAAAGCCCAGGUGACAUGGAGGAGGCAUUAGGUCAGAUGAGUUACGCUAAGUGGCAACUGAUAAAUUCAAGAUGACAAUCUGUAACAAUGGUAUUUAUCCUAGUAAUUAAUUCCAGUGGUGCCCGAGGCAGUGCUGGGUUGCUGCAACCAGUGUGGCUGGAGCUGAGCAGCUAAUGAGAAAGCAUUACAGUGAGGACUGAGGGUUGGUGUGUUCUGGCAGGAUGAGGUCACUGUGAGUAGGAAGUGUUAAUGCAAGCUUCGUGUGAUAAACUAUGACAAAGAAACACUGUGUUAUUUUGAGAGGCUAAAAUGCAGGCAUCCUUUGGUGUUUUUUCACAUAUGGUCUGUAGAGUGGCACCACCCAUCAUUGCCUUGGUGCCGACACGUGCACACCAUGCCUGUGCUGGUUAGCUGCUGCAGUGGAGCACAGUUCCUUUCCUCCCUAUCAUUUGUUCUAAUUACUGUUGUCAGGUAGCACUGAACACUCAGCUUAGAGGAAGAAGUUUGGUGGGUGUUACUGAUCAAUAGAAAGAAUGGUGAGAAAAAAACACUUGGGCACUCAUCAUUCUCCCCGGUCAGCAGCGGAGAUGGGACUGCUUGGCACUGGUGUGCAAAGAGCCAAGUGCUUCCAAACACUUCAACUCUGCAAGGUGUGGGGCAAGGCUACCUAAGAACGAUGGCCUAAGUAUAAUGAUUGUCCUGCCCCGCUGCAGCAGCAGCACAGGUCUGACUGGGUCGUGUGCAAACUAAAAUCCACAGUGGAAUUCGAAAAAAUAUUUGUGAGAUUUUCCCGGGCUGUUAAUUCCCCAUAGCUGCCAGAUUUCCGUUAUGAGUAACUACAGGUGCUGUCUUAACAGAAAUAUGUGGGUGACAAAGUGCUUACUAAGUGCUGUUACCAACAAAUCUCAGAAAGUGUUCUAAUUAAGGAGUGAUACUUCAUAACUAUUGUUAAUUGUGAGGAUAUAGAUGAGACGGACUGCGUAUUUUAGCAUUUGCAUUUUUGUUGUCUAAGAUCUAGCAGAUAUUUUAACAUUUUUGCUUUGUUUCCUCUUGUUUCACAUUUAGGUGUAAUGAUUGUUUUCUUCUGAAAGCAUUACAACUACUUCAGUAAAAAUACUUCUAUUUGCAUUCUGUUCUAUUUGUACUGAAGUAUGGUAGAUAAAAGGGUAGAUAAAAAUAGUGUUUAAUCAGAUCAGUAAGACUGCAUCUAGUCUCAAAUGUCAAGUAAUAUUAUUAGUUGCCACGCUUGUAACCAAAUCCUUGCGUUAUCUCAGAAUAUA
This is a long non-coding RNA of Lagopus muta (rock ptarmigan), 2565 nucleotides long. RefSeq lists it as uncharacterized. NCBI's taxonomy places the organism in Eukaryota, Metazoa, Chordata, Aves, Galliformes, Phasianidae. The transcript has 4 exons. The record is from RefSeq and is a predicted model, not a curated record.